Molecule: long non-coding RNA, 866 nt
Filed under: Anser brachyrhynchus (Pink-footed goose)
Lineage: Eukaryota; Metazoa; Chordata; Aves; Anseriformes; Anatidae
Description: lncRNA (ENSABRG00000019007.1)
Source: RNAcentral
AAAUGCUUCUAUUUAUCCACACAGGAAAAUACAAGCUUCUCCUUAGUUAUUAAAAAUAUAUUUUCAACGUGUAAUGGUCUUUUUUAUUUCUGCAAGGCCACCGAGAUCACCAUCAGCUGUAAAGCACUGCUCAAUCCAAGCUUCUACCGAAGGCAAGAGCUCUGACUUGGGAUCCCUGCAUGACACUGCCUUCCCUGUCACACGGUGCCUUGGAAGCAACGCAGAGCAGCAGGAUCCAUAACGUCUGAAUUGCCUUUUGUAGCAAUUUCCACUCCUCUGGCUGCAGCUUUAAAGGAUUCACCAACUCAGUGCUGGCAUUUGUCUUGCUUAGCUGCUGAGAAGCCUGACCCUGUUGUCCUGGAUAAUACCCCUACACCUCACCUUGCUGUAACCUUGUGCCACCCCACCAGGUUGAGGAGAUGGAGCUUCAGGCCUUCAGCAGCUCAGACUGAACCCUCACCAGGCUUAUUCAUGGAGUAAAUAAGAAAAGGAGUUUUUUUCUUCAGACAAAGUCUGCGUGGAGGGCAUAGACACUGAAAGCAUUUAAGAGCAACAAAAGAAGGCCAGGUCAUGUGGUGACCGAAUGCAGGUUGCUGUUGCAAGAGCCAGGAGCAACAAACCACAUUUGAAACAGAAUCACUGUUGGAGAAACUACCAUGAUGGCCUCACUUUGGGCAAGGAAGCCACAUCAUGCUUCGUUACUGUCAUGCUGCAAGCCUGGAGCUGCUGCACACACCAUAACCCUGAGGAGGAGCUCUGUACCUUGUCUUGAUGGCAUUGACUCCAAAGCCAAAAACUGUAUGUGGCCAUGAAAUGAGCUAAGUGAAGGAUUUAUGUCAUUUUUUCUUUCUUGGAACAGGGAGGGA